RNAcentral lists this long non-coding RNA (255 nucleotides) under Mytilus galloprovincialis (Mediterranean mussel). Lineage: Eukaryota; Metazoa; Mollusca; Bivalvia; Mytilida; Mytilidae. The record is from RNAcentral.
UUAAUAUGAGGCAGGCAUUACCUGUAAAUGGGGACGAAGUCUGUAUGAAUUAUUUUUUUGUAACUUAAUUAUUUGUCAAAAAAAAAGACACGGAAAUACCGUAACGUUUCCGAUUUUGGUUCUGUUGUUAGGGAUUUUAGUUGUGACGUUAUUUAAAUUAUGACGUCAUAUGCAAUGUAAACAAAGAAACGCUAUCAUUAGGUAACGUUUUUUCAUAUCAAGGAAUUAUUAAAAAUGAAAUUGGUAUUGCGCGUU